This 414-nucleotide ribosomal RNA is filed under the name bacterium enrichment culture clone ALO1_GLFRUDD03FRHII. RNAcentral describes it as "bacterial SSU rRNA". It matches the Rfam family "Bacterial small subunit ribosomal RNA", at positions 9 to 424 of the family's 1533-position model. The record is from RNAcentral.
GAGUUUGAUCCUGGCUCAGAUUGAACGCUGGCGGCAUGCCUUACACAUGCAAGUCGAACGGCAGCACGGGAGCUUGCUCCUGGUGGCGAGUGGCGAACGGGUGAGUAAUGCAUCGGAACGUAUCCUGGAGUGGGGGAUAACGUAGCGAAAGUUACGCUAAUACCGCAUAUUCUGUGAGCAGGAAAGCGGGGGACCUUCGGGCCUCGCGCUCUUGGAGCGGCCGAUGUCGGAUUAGCUAGUUGGUGAGGUAAAGGCUCACCAAGGCGACGAUCCGUAGCAGGUCUGAGAGGAUGAUCUGCCACACUGGAACUGAGACACGGUCCAGACUCCUACGGGAGGCAGCAGUGGGGAAUUUUGGACAAGUGGGGGCAACCCUGAUCCAGCCAUGCCGCGUGAGUGAAGAAGGCCUCGGUU